CAUGUAUAGUGGUAAACCUUUUUCAAUGUUAAGUAUUGUCAUAAGUUAACAUAUUUCAUUAACAUUAUUGUUAUUGUUGUCUUUUAAAUUUGUUAUUGUAGUAAACAUUCAAAAUUCAGGAGAAUUUUAUUCUUUUAAGGAGGGGGAAAUGUAAUGUAUAUUUCAUGUAUAACAUGUAAAUAUCAUCCGAAUUCAUUCCUAAUCCGAAUAUCGGUGCACAUUAUUUUUGUUGUUCACAUAUUGUCUAUGCAGUGCACUGCAUUUAGCAAGAUAAUGUUCUCCAAGAUUUAAUAUAUUUAUAUAUUUGUAUUUACCUUGUGUUUAGUCCAUUAUAUGUUGUUUGUUGUGAGAAUAAUCCAACAUGUUCGAAAUUCCUGCACUGUCAAAAUCGUUGCAGCAAUGUAUAUUGAUGACGUCAUACGUAGGAAUAUGGUGGAGUGUUAUUGCAUGCAUUUGACUUUAAAAUAGGCUGUAAAAUUAUAAUAUUCACUCCUCUAUUUGUAUAAAAAGAUGAUAUUUAUUAUAACUUGCAAACUCUUCAUUUAUAUUAACUGUUAAAACAUAAUAGUUUGCAGGGAACUAUUUGAUACGCUGAAUGCGUAAGAAUUUCUUAAGAUUUCAUGCUGCAGCAUUUAAUAUUGUAUUGUUAUACAUGCAUAUUUAAAGGUGUCUAUUGUUUCAAGUCAUCAAACUUAUUGCCUUCUUUGAUUAAGAUGUGAUAUUUAUGAUGAUUGUCGAUUUAUUAUUUUUAGAAGUAUGUUCUUGUUUACAUGUAACCGCAUUACUUCCAUACAUGGUGCAGGAUGCUGCAGGAUUGUGAUUGGCUGCAGCUGAAUCUUUGGCUGCAGCCAAAUCUGCAGCAUCCAAAGGGUAUAAAAGGAGGUUAUCCGCACAGUUUUGGCAACAGUUGCUAACAACAAACAUCACUGUUCGAUCAAUUGAAAACCCUUCCAAAAAGUCAUGAUUUCAAUCAAUGCCGAAAACGAAGUGCGAUGCUGGAUUGAUUUGAAUGCCUCCGGUAAUGUACCCAGGAUGUUCUUGUUCCAAAUUGUCAACAACAAGAUCAAAAUACACAUGGGGAUUAUAAAAGGAAAACACUAACCAGUAUCAUGGAUGAGUAUAUGUUUAAACUCAGAGAUGAUCAACAUCGCCAUUUGGUGAAGCCUUUCUCUCUGCAUGUGCUGGACAGAAGCCUUGACGCAAUCUCUGCUAUACAUGAUAAGGGGUGGGCGCACAACGACGUGCACGGUGGUAAUUUGAUGCUAGACAGUGACAUGCGCGUAAAGGUGAUUGACUUUGGAGGAGCAACAAAAUGUGAAGAAAAUGCAUAUGUGGCUGAACAUGAAAAGCACACUAAUAAAAUUUUGAAAGACCACAAGGAGGCCCUGCGAGUAUUCAGUGGAUUGUAUACCACUAACACGUUCAAUAGUGUUAAGGAUUUCGAGGACAAAUUACAGAAAUGUAUUUGAACAGUUCUUCACGAUUUUGAUCAGCCUAGUGGACAAUUCCUCAUGGAGGUGGCGAAACUAAUGUUUCCUGAACGAUUCCAGGCCAUCCUCCUUUCAGAACAUGUCCAACAAAUGGAAACGGAUGAAGGCGAUGAAGAAGAUGAGGCAGAUUGUAUCGAUUUUGAGCCAUGUUGCGCGGCACCUGACAUUGAAAAGUUGGCCGCAUCUAAGUUACUCGCUCAAGUCCUCGGCAAGUUUGGAAUUGGUCAGUUUUAGAAAGGCAGAAAAAUUAUGUCAACAUCCGCGAACAUAUUUGUCUGGUUCGGGGUAUCGUAUGAAAUAUCAGCUCCUAUUACACACCACGUGAUAAUGGUCGAUUCAAAUAUUAUAUAUGUUUAUAUUUUGUACUCGUUAUAUAUUUCAUUUGUUAGGUGUGUCUUUAAACCAUAUAUUUGGAUAGUCUCCAAGGAAUAUCUUAAGAUCAGACAAACUUGUAUGAAAUUAAACAAAAUAUAAAACAUGAGUUAUGAAUAAAAACCACAUACAAUGA
This is a long non-coding RNA of Dreissena polymorpha, 1998 nucleotides long. RefSeq lists it as uncharacterized. The transcript has 6 exons. NCBI's taxonomy places the organism in Eukaryota, Metazoa, Mollusca, Bivalvia, Myida, Dreissenidae. The record is from RefSeq and is a predicted model, not a curated record.